This 1221-nucleotide long non-coding RNA is filed under the name Gallus gallus (chicken). Lineage: Eukaryota; Metazoa; Chordata; Aves; Galliformes; Phasianidae. The record is from RNAcentral.
UUGCACGAGGACCUUGCACAAGAGUGAGCCUUUCAUGAGGUCCUUGCACAAGAGCCUCAGGUGCAGACCUUGCACGAGGAUAAGCUGCUUUCCACAAGGACCAUACACAAGGAUGAGCCACUUUGCACAAGGAUAUUGCAUUAGGAUGAGCCUUGCACAAGGGCCGUGUACAAGAGCCACAGGAGCCUUGCACGAGGGCCUUGCAUUAACAUCAGCUUUGCACGAGGACCUUGUACAAGAACCUCUGCUUAGGACCUUACAUGAGGAAGGAUCGCUUUGCACAAGGAUCUCACGCGAGGAUAAGCCUUGCACGAGGACCAUGCACAAGGAUGUGGUGCAGAGUGAAGAUCCCUUGCACAAGGACAGGCUUUUCACAAGAGGUUCGCCUGUGUGAUAGCGUUGUGUAAGGAUGAGGUUGGUGUGUGAGCUUUGCACAAGGGCCUUACACAGAGACCUCGUGCAAGGAGCCCAUGGGAAUACCUUCAGUAAGAAUGACUCUUGCACAAGGAUCUUGCACACGCCUCGUGUCAAGACAUCCUCUGAAGACCCAAUUAAGGCCUCAAGCUUUGCACGAGGGCCUUGCACAAGGAGCGUGCCUGUGGCUCUUCCUUGCACGACGGCCUGCAUGGGGCCCUUCCAUGAGAUCCUCGCACAAGGAGGGGUUUUGCACGACCAUCUUCCACAAGAGCCUUGCACGAGGGCCUUGCACCAGAGCCUCACACUGAGCCGGUUCUUGCACGUGGGCCUGCAUGACAACAACCUUUGCACAAGGACCUCGCACGAGGACACACCGUGCCUUCCAUGAGGACCUUGCACGAGGACACCAUGUGCCUUUCACCACAGCCUUGCACGAGGACGCAUUGUGCACAAGGAACUCUCCCAAGGAUGAGCCACGGCACGGCCUUGUGCACAUGCGAACCUUACAGGGAGAAGUGCCUUGCACGACAGCCUCGCACGAGGACGAGCCUUGCACGAGGGACUCGCAGACAGCCGUGCCUUGCACGAGGACCUUGCACAAGCGUGGCUAUCAGCGUGCACAAGGACGAGCCUCGUGCGAGGGCUUUGCACGAGGACGCUCCUGGCAUUGGGGCCUUGCACGAGGCCUUUCCAUGAGCGGGGCCUUGCACGAGGCCUUGCACGAGGACUGUGCACGUUGGGGGGGGGGGUUGGGGGGGGCGCCCCAUUAUUUCUAUCACAGUCGAUUUUUGAGACCAAGAAAAG